GGGAGCCAAGCCAAGAGGAUGUAGGUCCCACAACAGUGUGACCCUAAGGAAAGAGGCAUUGAGAAGACAGCAAGCAGUCCAGCCUGGCCAUAGCAUGAAGAACGUAAAGGAGAGCAGAGAAAGAUAAGCCUGCAAAGCUCCUGAGCAGGGUGUGCGUGAGAGAGGCUGCCAUGGGCAGGCCCCAGGCUGGGCAGACUUACCAGCCAACCUUUCGGAGCUCCAGAGGAAGAGAAG
Long non-coding RNA from Gracilinanus agilis (Agile Gracile Mouse Opossum), 234 nucleotides. RefSeq lists it as uncharacterized. The transcript has 3 exons. NCBI's taxonomy places the organism in Eukaryota, Metazoa, Chordata, Mammalia, Didelphimorphia, Didelphidae. The record is from RefSeq and is a predicted model, not a curated record.